RNAcentral lists this ribosomal RNA (253 nucleotides) under uncultured bacterium. Its description in RNAcentral is "partial 16S ribosomal RNA". It matches the Rfam family "Bacterial small subunit ribosomal RNA", at positions 524 to 776 of the family's 1533-position model. The record is from RNAcentral.
UACGUAGGGUGCGAGCGUUGUCCGGAGUUAUUGGGCGUAAAGAGCUUGUAGGCGGUCUGUCGCGUCUGCUGUGAAAAUCCGGGGCUCAACCCCGGACUUGCAGUGGGUACGGGCAGACUAGAGUGUGGUAGGGGAGACUGGAAUUCCUGGUGUAGCGGUGAAAUGCGCAGAUAUCAGGAGGAACACCGAUGGCGAAGGCAGGUCUCUGGGCCGUAACUGACGCUGAGGAGCGAAAGCGUGGGGAGCGAACAGG